This 1157-nucleotide ribosomal RNA is filed under the name Salmonella enterica. Its description in RNAcentral is "partial 23S ribosomal RNA". It matches the Rfam family "Bacterial large subunit ribosomal RNA", at positions 1 to 1190 of the family's 2925-position model. RNAcentral also lists the same sequence under 2 other names. Lineage: Bacteria; Pseudomonadati; Pseudomonadota; Gammaproteobacteria; Enterobacterales; Enterobacteriaceae. The record is from RNAcentral.
GGGUUGUGAGGUUAAGCGACUAAGCGUACACGGUGGAUGCCCUGGCAGUCAGAGGCGAUGAAGGACGUGCUAAUCUGCGAUAAGCGCCGGUAAGGUGAUAUGAACCGUUAUAACCGGCGAUUUCCGAAUGGGGAAACCCAGUGUGACUCGUCACACUAUCAUUAACUGAAUCCAUAGGUUAAUGAGGCGAACCGGGGGAACUGAAACAUCUAAGUACCCCGAGGAAAAGAAAUCAACCGAGAUUCCCCCAGUAGCGGCGAGCGAACGGGGAGGAGCCCAGAGCCUGAAUCAGCAUGUGUGUUAGUGGAAGCGUCUGGAAAGGCGCGCGAUACAGGGUGACAGCCCCGUACACAAAAGCGCAUGUGUUGUGAGCUCGAUGAGUAGGGCGGGACACGUGGUAUCCUGUCUGAAUAUGGGGGGACCAUCCUCCAAGGCUAAAUACUCCUGACUGACCGAUAGUGAACCAGUACCGUGAGGGAAAGGCGAAAAGAACCCCGGCGAGGGGAGUGAAAAAGAACCUGAAACCGUGUACGUACAAGCAGUGGGAGCACCCUUCGGGGUGUGACUGCGUACCUUUUGUAUAAUGGGUCAGCGACUUAUAUUCUGUAGCAAGGUUAACCGAAUAGGGGAGCCGGAGGGAAACCGAGUCUUAACCGGGCGUUAAGUUGCAGGGUAUAGACCCGAAACCCGGUGAUCUAGCCAUGGGCAGGUUGAAGGUUGGGUAACACUAACUGGAGGACCGAACCGACUAAUGUUGAAAAAUUAGCGGAUGACCUGUGGCUGGGGGUGAAAGGCCAAUCAAACCGGGAGAUAGCUGGUUCUCCCCGAAAGCUAUUUAGGUAGCGCCUCGUGAAUUCAUCUCCGGGGGUAGAGCACUGUUUCGGCUAGGGGGCCAUCCCGGCUUACCAACCCGAUGCAAACUGCGAAUACCGGAGAAUGUUAUCACGGGAGACACACGGCGGGUGCUAACGUCCGUCGUGAAGAGGGAAACAACCCAGACCGCCAGCUAAGGUCCCAAAGUCAUGGUUAAGUGGGAAACGAUGUGGGAAGGCCCAGACAGCCAGGAUGUUGGCUUAGAAGCAGCCAUCAUUUAAAGAAAGCGUAAUAGCUCACUGGUCGAGUCGGCCUGCGCGGAAGAUGUAACGGGGCUAAACCAU